CAUGCCUGCAGGUCGACGAUUCCCCGUCAAUUCCUUUGAGUUUUAGUCUUGCGACCGUAGUCCCCAGGCGGGAUGCUUAACGCGUUAGCUACGGCACAAGGGGGGUCGAUACCCCUCACACCUAGCAUCCAUCGUUUACGGCGUGGACUACCCGGGUAUCUAAUCCGGUUCGCUCCCCACGCUUUCGCGUCUCAGCGUCAGGACUAAGCCAGGAAGUCGCCUUCGCCACUGGUGUUCCUUCCGAUAUCUACGCAUUCCACCACUACACCGGAAGUUCCACUUCCCUCUCCCAGCCUCAAGACCGGCGGUAUUGAACGGCGUGACAAGGUUGGGCCUUGACAUUUCACGUUCAACCUACCGGUCCGCCUACACGCGCUUUACGCCCAGUAAUUCCGGAUAACGCUCGCCACCUACGUAUUGCCGCGGCUGCUGGCACGUAGUUGGCCGUGGCUUAUUCCUGGGCUACUGUCAUUUUCAUCACCCAGAAAAGGGCUUUACGACCCUAGGGCCUUCUUCGCCCACGCGGCGUCGCUGCGUCAGGAAUCUCUAGAGGAUCCCCGGGUACCGAGCUCGAAUUCGUAAUCAUGGUCAUAGCUGUUUCCUGUGUGAAAAUGGUAUNCGCUCACAAUUCCACACAACAUACGAGCCGGAAGCAUAAAGUGUAAAAGCCUGGGGUGGCUAAUGAGUGAGCUNAACUCACANUUAAUUGCGUUGCGCU
This 718-nucleotide ribosomal RNA is filed under the name uncultured bacterium. Its description in RNAcentral is "partial 16S ribosomal RNA". The record is from RNAcentral.